Molecule: ribosomal RNA, 460 nt
Filed under: uncultured bacterium
Lineage: Bacteria
Description: partial 16S ribosomal RNA
Rfam family: Bacterial small subunit ribosomal RNA
Source: RNAcentral
CCUACGGGUGGCAGCAGUGAGGAAUAUUGGUCAAUGGGCGCGAGCCUGAACCAGCCAAGUCGCGUGAGGGAUGACGGUCCUACGGAUUGUAAACCUCUUUUGCCGGGGAGCAAGCGUGCGUUCGUGAACGCACGUCGAGAGUACUCGGAGAAAAAGCAUCGGCUAACCCCGUGCCAGCAGCCGCGGUAAUACGGAGGAUGCGAGCGUUAGCCGGUUUUAUUGGGUUUAGAGGGUGGGUAGGCGGGAUGCCCAGUCAGCGGUAAAAAUGCGGUGCUCAACGCCGUCGAGCCGUUGAAACUGGCGUUCUUGAGUGGGAGAGAGGGAGGCGGAAUGCGUGGUGUAGCGGUGAAAUGCAUAGAUAUCACGCAGAACUCCGAUUGCGAAGGCAGCAUACCGGCGCCCUACUGACGCUGAGGCACGAAAGCGUGGGUAUCGAACAGGAUUAGAUACCCCGGUAGUC